RNAcentral lists this ribosomal RNA (804 nucleotides) under Triticum aestivum (bread wheat). RNAcentral describes it as "partial small subunit ribosomal RNA". Lineage: Eukaryota; Viridiplantae; Streptophyta; Magnoliopsida; Poales; Poaceae. The record is from RNAcentral.
AUGGACCAAUCCAUCCCUUUUUCCCGUGCAUAUGCAUCGGACUCGGAUGACGAUGGUCCCGAUGAAGAAGUUGAUGAGGAGGGGUUCACGCUGAAGGAGGCCGAAGCAUUCAAGAAGGUAUUCGGGCGGGAUCCCAAGACACCAUUGUUCAAGGAUCUUAGUCUCGCGGAUGAAGCCGUUGUGGAUGGUGGCAAAUGCAUAUCUCUUGGAGCUAGGCCAAGUUCUCACCGUGAUUUGAAAGACGGCAAGAACGGGAUAUAUCCCGGUUGUGAGUUUCAAUCCUUCUUGGAAUUGAAGAUGUGGCUCGACAACUACUCGGUUACACAUUAUCGUCCACAUAAAGUGGCCAACUCGGAUGUUAAUGUGUGUUACACGGUCAAAUGUGAAGUGCCAACAUGUCCAUGGAUUGUGCGUGCAAGGCCAUGGAAAGGAGGUCCCACUUGGCGCAUAGUGAGUUGUCUACCAACUCACAUGUGCCGGCACAAGAAUGCGGAUGGCAAGCUUGUGCACCAACAACACAGACAACUCACGUCCGAGUUCAUUGCUUACAGGCUGUCCAACCAAAUAUCCACACUUCCAAUAAUGAGCAUCAAGAGUGUCAUUGACCUUGUGAAAGCCAUCUUUCAUUACAAGGUGAAGUACGGCAAGGCAUGGAAGGCGAAGCAAGCCGCAUUCAAGAUGUUGUAUGGCAAUUGGGAGGAAGCAUACAACCGACUCCCUAGGUUGUUGUUAGCUAUGGCCGCCACAAACUCAGGCAUGGUUCACGUGGUUGAGCCUCAUGGGCACCAAACACUCAACAUCUAA